RNAcentral lists this ribosomal RNA (468 nucleotides) under uncultured bacterium. RNAcentral describes it as "partial 16S ribosomal RNA". It matches the Rfam family "Bacterial small subunit ribosomal RNA", at positions 28 to 507 of the family's 1533-position model. The record is from RNAcentral.
GACGAACGCUGGCGGCGUGCUUAACACAUGCCAGUCGAACGGAAAGGCCCUGCUUUUGUGGGGUGCUCGAGUGGCGAACGGGUGAGUAACACGUGAGUAACCUGCCCUUGACUUUGGGAUAACUUCAGGCAACUGGGGCUAAUACCGGAUAGGAGCUCCUGCUGCAUGGUGGGGGUUGGACAGUUUCGGCGGUUGGGGAUGGACUUGCGGCUUCUCAGCUUGUUGGUGGGGUAGUGGCUUACCAAGGCUUUGACAGGUAGCCGGCCUGAGAGGGUGACCGGCCACAUGACGACUGGGAUACGGCCCAGACUCCUACGGGAGGCAGCGGUGGGGAAUAUUGCACAAUGGGCGGAAGCCUGAUGCAGCAACGCCGCGUGGGGUAUAACGGCCUUCGGGUUGGAAACCGCUUUCGCCUGUGACGAAGCGUUAGUGACGGUAAUGGGUAAAGAAGCACCGGCUAACUACGUG